This 465-nucleotide ribosomal RNA is filed under the name Triticum aestivum (bread wheat). RNAcentral's name for it is "partial small subunit ribosomal RNA". Lineage: Eukaryota; Viridiplantae; Streptophyta; Magnoliopsida; Poales; Poaceae. The record is from RNAcentral.
AUGGCGCCCUCCAAGCUCACCCUCUUCCUCGCCCUGAGCCUGGUGCUCGUGGGAACCUCGCACGGUUGCGGAUCGUGCGGCAACACGCCGUCCGUGCCAGUCCCAACGCCGCCGAUCGCCGUGCCCCCGCCGGCCCUCCCAGUACCAACCCCGCCGGUCGCCGUGCCCCCGCCGGCCGUCCCAGUACCAACCCCUGGUGGCGGCGGUACCUGCUCGAUCAACACGUUGAAGUUGAGCGCGUGCGCCAACAUACUGAACCUGCUGGAGCUCAACCUCGGCGUGCCGGCGAGCGAGCAGUGCUGCCCGCUCCUGAGGGGCCUCGCCGACCUGGACGCCGCCGUGUGCCUCUGCACCGCCAUCAAGGCCAACGUUCUGGGCAUCAAGGUCAACGUCCCCGUCGACCUCGUGCUGCUUCUCAACCAGUGCGGCAAGACCUGCCCCGCCGACUUCACCUGCCCUAGCUAA